Molecule: non-coding RNA, 27 nt
Filed under: Bombyx mori (domestic silkworm)
Lineage: Eukaryota; Metazoa; Arthropoda; Insecta; Lepidoptera; Bombycidae
Source: RNAcentral
UAUAAUAGCAGCUGCAGUAGUGGUCCC